Molecule: ribosomal RNA, 109 nt
Filed under: Periophthalmus magnuspinnatus
Lineage: Eukaryota; Metazoa; Chordata; Actinopteri; Gobiiformes; Gobiidae
Source: RNAcentral
ACCUAUGGCCACAACAGCUUGCCAAUGCACUGAUCUCUGAAGCGAAGUAGGCCCGGGCCUCUUUAGUACUUGGAUGGGAGACUGCUGGGAAUGUCAGGUGCCACAGUGG